GAUAUUCCAGUACCGGUAAUGAUUGUUUGAGCGAUGGAGUGACACAGGAGGGCAGGCAGGCAGGAGAUUGGUUGUUCCUGUACAAGCGUGUAGGAUGGGACGCAGGCAAAUCCGCGUCCUGUGAGUCUGAGGCGUGAUGUGGAGGUUCCGGAAACGGAACUGAAGCUGCUGACCCCACACUGUCGAGAAAAGCUUCUAGUUAGAGAAUUACCGCCCGUACCGUAAACCGACACAGGUAUGCGGGGAGAGAAUCCUAAGGUGCGGGAGAACCCUCGUUAAGGAACUCGGCAAAAUGUACCCGUAACUUCGGGAUAAGGGUAGCCGCUGUUGUGAAGUCUGAACAGACGGAGCAUGAGGCGGUCGCAGAGAAGAGGCCCAAGCGACUGUUUACCACAAACACAGGUGCCUGCUAAAGAGAAAUCUGACGUAUAGGUGCUGACACCUGCCCAGUGCCGGAAGGUUAAGGAAGGAUGUCCGGAGCAAUCCAAAGCAUUCGACCGAAGCCCCGGUGAACGGCGGCUGUAACAAUAACGGUCCUAAGGUAGCGAAAUUCCUUGUCGGGUAAGUUCCGACCCGCACGAAAGGUGUAACGAUUUGGGCACUGUCUCAACGAGGGACCCGGUGAAAUUGAAGUACCUGUGAAGAUGCAGGUUACCCGCGACUGGACAGAAAGACCCCAUGGAGCUUUACUGUAACCUGACAUUGGGUUCUGAUACAUCACGUACAGGAUAGGUGGGAGGCAUGGAAGCGAGGACGCUAGUCUUCGUGGAGCCGCCGUUGGGAUACCACCCUUGAUGUAUCGGAAUUCUAACCGUAGGAGUAACGAAACUCGGGACAGUGUCAGGCGGGCAGUUUGACUGGGGCGGUCGCCUCCCAAAGAGUAACGGAGGCGCCCAAAGGUUCCCUCAGCGCGGCCGGAAAUCGCGCGAAGAGUGUAAAGGCAGAAGGGAGCUUGACUGAGAGCCAAACACGGCAAUCAGGUACGAAAGUAGGGCUUAGUGAUCCGGUGGCAUCCAAGUGGAAGGGCCAUCGCUCAACGGAUAAAAGCUACCCUGGGGAUAACAGGCUAAUCUCUCCCAAGAGUCCAUAUCGACGGGGAGGUUUGGCACCUCGAUGUCGGCUCAUCACAUCCUGGGGCUGAAGUCGGUCCCAAGGGUUGGGCUGUUCGCCCAUUAAAGUGGUACGUGAGCUGGGUUCAGAACGUCGUGAGACAGUUCGGUCCCUAUCCAUCGCGGGCGCAAGAGAUUUGAAGGGGGCUGCUCCUAGUACGAGAGGACCGGAGUGGACGAACCAAUGGUGUACCAAUUAUCUCGCCAGAGGUAUAGUUGGGUAGCUACGUUCGGAAAGGAUAAACGCUGAAAGCAUCUAAGCGUGAAACCAGCCUUAAGAUGAGAUCUCUCAUAGAGCAAUCUAGUAAGACACCUUGGAGAAGACGAGGUUGAUAGGUCGGGAGUGUAAGUACAGUAAUGUAUUCAGCGGACCGAUACUAAUAUGUCGAGGGCUUGAC
RNAcentral lists this ribosomal RNA (1507 nucleotides) under metagenome. RNAcentral's name for it is "bacterial LSU rRNA". It matches the Rfam family "Bacterial large subunit ribosomal RNA", at positions 1432 to 2925 of the family's 2925-position model. The record is from RNAcentral.